This 772-nucleotide ribosomal RNA is filed under the name uncultured Neocallimastigales. RNAcentral's name for it is "partial large subunit ribosomal RNA". It matches the Rfam family "Eukaryotic large subunit ribosomal RNA", at positions 26 to 637 of the family's 3401-position model. The record is from RNAcentral. Lineage: Eukaryota; Fungi; Neocallimastigomycota; Neocallimastigomycetes; Neocallimastigales.
CGCAUCUGUGCAUGCAGCAUAUCAAUAAGCGGAGGAAAAGAAACUAACAAGGAUUCCCUUAGGUAACGGCGAGUGAAGCGGGAAGAGCUCAAAUUUGAAAUCUUGAAAGGUCACCUUUCACGAAUUGUAGUUUAAAGAAGUGUUUUCUGUUACGAUCGUAAUAUAAGUUCUUUGGAAUAGGACAUCACAGAGGGUGAGAAUCCCGUCUAUGAUUGCGAUUUGUAGCUUUGUGAUACACUUUCAAAGAGUCGGGUUGUUUGGGAAUGCAGCCCAAAACGGGAGGUAAAUUUCUUCUAAGGCUAAAUAUUGGCGAGAGACCGAUAGCGAACAAGUACCGUGAGGGAAAGAUGAAAAGAACUUUGAAAAGAGAGUUAAAUAGUACGUGAAAUUGUCAAAAGGGAAGCGUUUAACACCAGUGUUGUUUUCUGAAAAUCAACCUCUGUUAGCUUUAUGCAUGUUUGUUUAGACCUAAUCAGCUAUCUUGCAUGUUCUAUUGUUUGCAGUGGUGCACUUUUCAGUUUACAGGUCAACAUCAGUUUUUUUUACCGUAAAAAAGUUAAAGAAAGGUAGCUCAUGGCUCCGGUCGUGAGUGUUAUAGUCUUUUUCCUAUGCGGUAGGAGAGACUGAGGUCUGCAGUGUAGGCUAUUUGGCUAGAUACUCAGGUGCUAUGUGAUACCAUUUCAUAAACAACUUGUUGAUUAUGUUUUGUCUAUUGCAUACUCGCUUGUACUAUCAUACCUACGCUUAGGAUGUUGACGAUCAGCUGAGCGCG